This 409-nucleotide ribosomal RNA is filed under the name uncultured bacterium. RNAcentral describes it as "bacterial SSU rRNA". It matches the Rfam family "Bacterial small subunit ribosomal RNA", at positions 368 to 794 of the family's 1533-position model. The record is from RNAcentral.
GCAAUGGGCGAAAGCCCUGAUGCAGCAACGCCGCGUGAGCGAUGAAGGCCUUCGGGUCGUAAAGCUCUGUCCUCAAGGAAGAUAAUGACGGUACUUGAGGAGGAAGCCCCGGCUAACUACGUGCCAGCAGCCGCGGUAAUACGUAGGGGGCUAGCGUUAUCCGGAAUUACUGGGCGUAAAGGGUGCGUAGGUGGUUUCUUAAGUCAGAGGUGAAAGGCUACGGCUCAACCGUAGUAAGCCUUUGAAACUGGGAAACUUGAGUGCAGGAGAGGAGAGUGGAAUUCCUAGUGUAGCGGUGAAAUGCGUAGAUAUUAGGAGGAACACCAGUUGCGAAGGCGGCUCUCUGGACUGUAACUGACACUGAGGCACGAAAGCGUGGGGAGCAAACAGGAUUAGAUACCCUGGUAGU